RNAcentral lists this unclassified non-coding RNA (344 nucleotides) under soil metagenome. RNAcentral describes it as "partial contains 5.8S ribosomal RNA, internal transcribed spacer 2, and large subunit ribosomal RNA". The stretch from base 5 to 118 matches the Rfam family "5.8S ribosomal RNA", at positions 40 to 154 of the family's 154-position model. The record is from RNAcentral.
GAUGAGAACGUAGCGAAAUGCGAUACGUAAUGUGAAUUGCAAAUUCAGUGAAUCAUCGAGUCUUUGAACGCACAUUGCGCCCCCUGGUAUUCCGGGGGGCAUGCCUGUCCGAGCGUCAUUGCUGCCCUCAAGCACGGCUUGUGUGUUGGGCCCCGUCCUCCGAUCCCGGGGGACGGGCCCGAAAGGCAGCGGCGGCACCGCGUCCGGUCCUCGAGCGUAUGGGGCUUUGUCACCCGCUCUGUAGGCCCAGCCGGCGCUUGCCGAUCAACCCAAAUUUUUAUCCAGGUUGACCUCGGAUCAGGUAGGGAUACCCGCUGAACUUAAGCAUAUCAAUAAGCGGAGGA